UACAGAGGUCUCAAGCGUUGUUCGGAAUUACUGGGCGUAAAGGGCUCGUAGGUGGCCAACUAAGUCAGACGUGAAAUCCCUCGGCUUAACCGGGGAACUGCGUCUGACACUGGAUGGCUUGAGUGUGGGAGAGGGAUGCGGAAUUCCAGGUGUAGCGGUGAAAUGCGUAGAUAUCUGGAGGAACACCGGUGGCGAAGGCGGCAUCCUGGACCAUUACUGACACUGAAUAGCGAAAGCCAGGGGAGCAAACGGG
This 253-nucleotide ribosomal RNA is filed under the name uncultured bacterium. RNAcentral describes it as "partial 16S ribosomal RNA". It matches the Rfam family "Bacterial small subunit ribosomal RNA", at positions 524 to 776 of the family's 1533-position model. The record is from RNAcentral.